GAUGAACGCUGGCGGCGUGCCUAAUACAUGCAAGUCGAGCGAACAGACGAGGAGCUUGCUCCUUUGACGUUAGUGGCGGACGGGUGAGUAACACGUAGGUAACCUACCUAUAAGACUGAGAUAACUUCGGGAAACCGGAGCUAAUACCGGAUAAUAUUUCGAACCGCAUGGUUCGAUAGUGAAAGAUGGCUUUGCUAUCACUUAUAGAUGGACCUGCGCCGUAUUAGCUAGUUGGUAAGGUAACGGCUUACCAAGGCAACGAUACGUAGCCGACCUGAGAGGGUGAUCGGCCACACUGGAACUGAGACACGGUCCAGACUCCUACGGGAGGCAGCAGUAGGGAAUCUGCCGCAAGGGGCGAAAGCCUGACGGAGCAACGCCGCGUGAGUGAUGAAGGUCUUCGGAUCGUAAAACUCUGUUAUUAGGGAAGAACAAACGUGUAAGUAACUGUGCACGUCUUGACGGUACCUAAUCAGAAAGCCACGGCUAACUACGUG
RNAcentral lists this ribosomal RNA (497 nucleotides) under uncultured bacterium. Its description in RNAcentral is "partial 16S ribosomal RNA". It matches the Rfam family "Bacterial small subunit ribosomal RNA", at positions 28 to 507 of the family's 1533-position model. The record is from RNAcentral.